UGGAAUACAAAGUACAAAGUAGAAAGUACAAACCAAACAGGGAAACAUCGUCGAUUGAAGUUUCUACAUAGCCAAUCUCGAACCAGGAAUCACCUCCGUUUUCAUGGCAUCAAUGUACACAGCUUUCUAAUUACAGCACCACCCUUAUAAAUUGAUAAACCCAUAAACAGAUUUGACUCAAAAAGGUGCCUUUCGAUCGGAAUUGAUCAAAUUUUGGCCACACAACAUCUAGUUUCUGAAGCUAUACACUCCAUAGUCGUCCUUCAAAGCCAAAUUUGACUUUUUUUAAAUCAAUAAUUUGUUAUAUAGCCAAGAUGGAAGAGGAGAUGAUUACACUACAAAACAUAAUGCCGGUAGAUCUUGCAAUCAAAAGGGAGUUAGAAUAUCGUAAAAAGAUGGAAAUAUCAAGAAACCAACAUCAAAACAACUUAAAACCUCUUGUAGCCUCACAGGGCCCACCAAUUCAAUCCUGGAAAGAAGAUUACAAAAUGGCAGCAAGCGGGUCCCAUAAGUCUCGGAUGUUUCAGUUUUCUUCAACCCGUCAAACCUUGCGAGAAAAACGCGUGUUUUCUUGCAAGGCUUGUCAGUUGACUUUUGGUACUGUUUUUGACCUUAGUGGUCAUGUUGUAAGUCAACAACAUAAAUUCAAUGUAUCUGAGAUGAAGAAGAGGAAACAAGCCAUAAGCAAUCCGAUUUGGUGCGAAUUAUGUAAAUCAUCGUGUUCAAGUUUGGGCGAAAUGGAACGUCAUCUUAACGGGUCACGCCAUUUGAUGAGGAUUUGAAAUUAUAAUAAUAAAAAAAAUAAUAAUUUGUUAUUCGGUAGUUGUAGUUUGAUUUUGAUCUAAUGAAACAUGUUGUACUUUGUAGGCUUUGAAAUUUUGUUAUGGAAGUUAUUUGUAUUAGAUUCAAAAUCGUUGAAAUUUUCAUUCAGGUGCGGGGUUUGGAAGGUCAAAGGAUGGUUGACCGAAAGCGAAAGGUACAACCCUCCAAUGCACGGUUUAUUUGUGUGGUUUGUGAUAUGGCGUUUGCUAGUGUGUUUCAUUUGAAGAUGCAUGGUGAAACUUAUGCUCAUAGAAGUAAUCUUUGUAUGGCGAGAAAUGGGGGUGAAAAUGUGAGUAAUCCGUUUUUAUGUGAGGUUUGUGAUAUUUUGUGUUCAAGUGGGAAAGUAAUGAAGCUUCAUGCUGCUGGGGUAAAACAUAAGGGUUAUCUUCAAGAGUUUGAGGAUGCAAGAAGAGCAAGAUUUUAUGGUAAUUUUGGUUCAUAUCAGUAAGAUUAGGACUAUGUUUUUUUUUUUUUUUUUUUUUUUUUUGCUCUAAAAACUUGUAUGAAUGAACUCUUGAAAUUCUGCUGUUUUUUUUGGAUCCGGAGUACUCCACAAUCAUGAAAUAAUGACUUGUGUUUUUUGCAACAGAAGUUGUGUCAUGCAAUGACUUGUACAUGACACAACUUAUGUUUAAAUAAAAACUAAAAACUUUCGGCUUAGUUUUGUCAACAUGCACUCUAAGUUAAAUGUGGCCAAACUUUUUUUUUUUUUUUUUUUUUUUUUAUGUAUUUUUAACCAACAAAUUCAGACCAACUAUAGACCAAUAACAUUGUGAAACCUGUAAUUUGAUGGACAAAUUUUGAUAUGAUUUUGAUUUUAGGUUUCACCUAUAAAUUCAUUGAUUUCGUGUUGUGAUGGAUGAUGACUAUUUCAUUGAAAUCCUAAAUUCAAACCCAAAAUCCAGAAGAAAAAUCCUAAACCUGAAUGUGAACAACAUAAACAUGUAUGUAUGAAGAUUGAAGAUGUAAUGUAAUCAACCGAUAAUUGAGGGUACAACUGAAUCUACAAAAGGUACAACUACUACUCUUCUCAUAGUCAUUCGACUCCGACCUUCUUUUUCAACAUUGCAAUGAACUCGUCCCUUUCUUGUGGAGACAUUCCUUCAGCCGAACAAUCACCAAUCCCCCAUUCAGCUCCUCUUAAGCAAUACUUGUCUUGAGUCGCUUGUCGAUUCCUGACAAAUCAUAUCCGUUCAUUAUCCCCACAAAUUAAUCACCACUCAUUAAUAACAUCGAUCUACAAUCACAUAUUCAAUCAGAUUAUGUAAACAAUACUUACUUUUCUUUGUUCACCUUGGAUCGCUCAAGCAAUUCCUUAAGCAACGGAGUCUCCUUGAAUCUCGCAUCAUUUUCUGCAUACUUUUUUUGAUUCUCUUCUGCAGAAAAUGGAAUCCAAAUUCUUAGAUAAUUUUAGAUUGUGAUGUAAUCAAUUGAAUCGGAAUAGCAGCACACAGUACCAUUGAAACGAGCGAAGGAAUCAAUCUUCGGUAGUUCGGGACCAGGCAUCGAUUCCAAUCCUGAGAACCCCGAAAGCAAUCCGGCGUGCGCUAUAGCCAUGAUCAUGAAAACAAUUACCUUAUGCAUAAGAAGUAAUACAGAUACCCUAGUGAACAUAAGCAGAUGUGUAUUUACCAGGGAAUGGAGAGAGAAGAAGAGUCAUUGAAGCAGCUAAAGGAAGGAGAGACUUGUCAAACCAGCUUCUUCUCUGGAAUAUCAAUGCCGGAGGUGGCGAACAUUGUGAAAGAUGGUUAAAUGGUUGUCUGCCGGCGGUGAUGGUGGUGGACGGUGGUGUUGAAAAGGUGGUGUGCCAUAGAGGUCCAAAUGAAGAA
Molecule: non-coding RNA, 2651 nt
Organism: Lactuca sativa (garden lettuce)
Lineage: Eukaryota; Viridiplantae; Streptophyta; Magnoliopsida; Asterales; Asteraceae
Source: RefSeq, a predicted model, not a curated record